AUAUAAGCAAAAAUCCAUGUUUUAGAUUCAUUCAAUAAAUGAUGUAUGUUGUCUACAAUUAAUAAAGACCACAUACAUCAUUUAUUGAAUGAAUCUAAAACAUUGAUUUUUGCUUAUAU
Molecule: microRNA precursor, 119 nt
Organism: Medicago truncatula (barrel medic)
Lineage: Eukaryota; Viridiplantae; Streptophyta; Magnoliopsida; Fabales; Fabaceae
Rfam family: MIR2593 microRNA precursor family
Source: Rfam